Rattus norvegicus (Norway rat) is the source of this 144-nucleotide small nucleolar RNA. Ensembl annotates it as small nucleolar RNA SNORA48. The record is from Ensembl. Lineage: Eukaryota; Metazoa; Chordata; Mammalia; Rodentia; Muridae.
UCCCUCUGACAAUGGGCAAAGAGAUACCUUGUGGAUGGUAUUGUUCUUAUAACUGUCAGAGUUAGAGAAGGUGACAGUCAGUUGUUUAUCUUAGCAUGAUGCCUGGCUUGAUGGGUAAAGCUGUUUUAUGUCCAGGACUCAGAA